Molecule: ribosomal RNA, 338 nt
Filed under: uncultured bacterium
Lineage: Bacteria
Description: bacterial SSU rRNA
Rfam family: Bacterial small subunit ribosomal RNA
Source: RNAcentral
AUAAUAUAUUGAUUGGCAUCAAGUUAAUAUUUGAAAGCUCCGCGGAUAGAGAUGGGCACGCGCAAGAUUAGUUAGUUGGUGAGGUAACGGCUCAACCAAGACGAUGAUCUUUAGGGGGCCUGAGAGGGUGAUCCCCCACACUGGUACUGAGACACGGACCAGACUCCUACGGGAGGCAGCAGUGAGGAAUAUUGGACAAUUGGGUGCAAGCCUGAUCCAGCCAUCCCGCGUGAAGGACGACUGCCCUAUGGGUUGUAAACUUCUUUUGUAUAGGGAUAAACCUCUCCUCGUGAGGAGAGCUGAAGGUACUAUACGAAUAAGCACCGGCUAACUCCGUG